UCGUGCUAGACGGGGAGCUAGCGGUGCCCUGUAACCCGAGAGCCGCUUACGCGGGGUUGAAGUCCCUUCCGAGGAUUGCAGCGCAUCCGGGAGAGGCUGUCCCGGGUGGCGGAUUGGACCCCACGCAACAGACGCUGGUGAACCCCGUCAGGUCCGGAAGGAAGCAGCGGUAAACCAGGCGGUCUGUGUCGCGGCGGCUGCUAAUCCUUAAACCCCCGGGCGGUCCCCCCGGUUGAGGCGGAUUCGAAGAAGGGUGCACGG
This 261-nucleotide signal recognition particle RNA is filed under the name Deltaproteobacteria bacterium. Its description in RNAcentral is "signal recognition particle sRNA large type". It matches the Rfam family "Bacterial large signal recognition particle RNA". From Rfam's summary of the family: The signal recognition particle (SRP) is a universally conserved ribonucleoprotein involved in the co-translational targeting of proteins to membranes. Archaeal SRP consists of a 7S RNA and homologues of the eukaryotic SRP19 and SRP54 proteins. The record is from RNAcentral. Lineage: Bacteria; Pseudomonadati; Myxococcota; Myxococcia.